CCUACGGGGGGCUGCAGUGGGGGAUAUUGCACAAUGGGGGGAACCCUGAUGCAGCGACGCCGCGUGGGUGAAGAAGCGCCUCGGCGCGUAAAGCCCUGUCAGCAGGGAAGAAAAUGACGGUACCUGACGAAGCAGUCCCGGCUAACUACGUGCCAGCAGCCGCGGUAAUACGUAGGGGGCAAGCGUUAUCCGGAUUUACUGGGUGUAAAGGGGGCGCAGACGGCGAUGCAAGCCAGGAGUGAAAGCCCGGGGCCCAACCCCGGGACUGCUCUUGGAACUGCGUGGCUGGAGUGCAGGAGGGGCAGGCGGAAUUCCUGGUGUAGCGGUGAAAUGCGUAGAUAUCAGGAGGAACACCGGUGGCGAAGGCGGCCUGCUGGACUGCAACUGACGUUGAGGCCCGAAAGCGUGGGGAGCAAACAGGAUUAGAUACCCGAGUAGUC
This 440-nucleotide ribosomal RNA is filed under the name uncultured bacterium. Its description in RNAcentral is "partial 16S ribosomal RNA". It matches the Rfam family "Bacterial small subunit ribosomal RNA", at positions 338 to 795 of the family's 1533-position model. The record is from RNAcentral.